Molecule: ribosomal RNA, 407 nt
Filed under: uncultured bacterium
Lineage: Bacteria
Description: partial 16S ribosomal RNA
Rfam family: Bacterial small subunit ribosomal RNA
Source: RNAcentral
AUUGAACGCUGGCGGCAGGCCUAACACAUGCAAGUCGAACGGAGUGGCGGACGGGUGAGUAAUGUCUGGGAAACUGCCUGAUGGAGGGGGAUAACUACUGGAAACGGUCGCUAAUACCGCAUACUAUCAGAUGAGCCUAGGUCGGAUUAGCUAGUUGGUGGGGUAAAGGCCUACCAAGGCUACGAUCCGUAACUGGUCUGAGAGGAUGAUCAGUCACAUUGGAACUGAGACACGGGCCAGACUCCUACGGGAGGCAGCAGUGGGGAAUAUUGGACAAUGGGCGAAAGCCUGAUCCAGCCAUGCCGCGUGUGGGAAGAAGGUCUUCGGAUUGUAAAGCACUUUAAGUUGGGAGGCGUUACCAACAGAAUAAGCACCGGCUAACUUCGUGCCAGCAGCCGCGGUAAUUC